RNAcentral lists this ribosomal RNA (778 nucleotides) under Triactinomyxon sp. 'D'-2 EE-2005. RNAcentral's name for it is "bacterial SSU rRNA". It matches the Rfam family "Eukaryotic small subunit ribosomal RNA", at positions 146 to 883 of the family's 1831-position model. The record is from RNAcentral. Lineage: Eukaryota; Metazoa; Cnidaria; Myxozoa.
ACCGUGGGAAAUCUAGAGCUAAUACGUGCGGUAUCUUGGCGGGCUCUCGGGUUCGUCAAAGCAUUUAUUAGACUAAACCAACUACUAUGUUUUUCAUAGUAAGGGGAAUCUGGAUAACUUUGCUGAUCGUAUGGCCUUGUGCCGGCGACGUUUCAAUUGAGUUUCUGCCCUAUCAACUUGUUGGUAAGGUAUUGGCUUACCAAGGUUGCAACGGGUAACGGGGAAUCAGGGUUCGAUUCCGGAGAGGGAGCCUGAGAAACGGCUACCACAUCCAAGGAAGGCAACAGGCGCGCAAAUUACCCAAUCUAGACAGUAGGAGGUGGUGAAGAGAAUUACUAAAUGGUGGUCCAAUGGAUCACUUGUUUGGAAUGAACGUAACUUAAGAAAUUCGUUGAUAAACAACUGGAGGGCAAGUCCUGGUGCCAGCAGCCGCGGUAAUUCCAGCUCCAGUAGUUUGCUUUAAAGUUGUUGCGUUUAAAACGCUCGUAGUUGGAUCACGCAGCAGUGUUCAGUUAUCUUUUGUCCGGUCUCAACGGAUGCGAUCGUCUCAGACGACCUUUUGUUGGGGCCGGCUUUUGAUGCUAUGCUGGAUGCUGUUAGUUGCACGUGAGAUGGAUUGUUGGCCUUAAAUGAGCCGGUAUUCUUGUCUUGCGGGGUGUGCCUUGAAUAAAACAGAGUGCUUAAAGCAGGUUAUUGCCUGAAUGUUAUAGCAUGGAACGAACAAUCGUGUACUUGUGCGUGUUAUUAGACGGUCACGAGCUUUUAGAUUGUGGUGUCU